This 368-nucleotide ribosomal RNA is filed under the name uncultured organism. RNAcentral describes it as "bacterial LSU rRNA". It matches the Rfam family "Bacterial large subunit ribosomal RNA", at positions 2099 to 2465 of the family's 2925-position model. The record is from RNAcentral.
CUUGACUGUAUCCCGGAAUUGGGUUCGGGCUUUUCUUGCGCAGUCUAGGUGGGAGGCUAUGAAGUUUUCCUUCCGGGGAAGUUGGAGCCAACAGUGAGAGACCACUCUGGAGAGGCUAGAAUCCUAAUGGUGAUCCGUGAAUCCGGACACUUGACAGUUUCAGGUGGGCAGUUUUUCUGGGGCGGAAGCCUCAUAAAGGGUAACUGAGGCGCGCAAAGGUCCCCUCAGUCUGGACGGAAAUCAGACAACGAGUGUAAAGGCAAAAGGGGGCUUGACUGCAAGACCUACAAGUCGAGCAGGAGCGAAAGCUGGCCUUAGUGAUCCGACGGUACCGUGUGGAAGGGCCGUCGCUCAACGAAUAAAAGUUA